This 253-nucleotide ribosomal RNA is filed under the name uncultured bacterium. Its description in RNAcentral is "partial 16S ribosomal RNA". It matches the Rfam family "Bacterial small subunit ribosomal RNA", at positions 524 to 776 of the family's 1533-position model. The record is from RNAcentral.
UACGAAGGGGGCUAGCGUUGUUCGGAUUUACUGGGCGUAAAGCGCACGUAGGCGGAUCUUUAAGUCAGGGGUGAAAUCCCGAGGCUCAACCUCGGAACUGCCUUUGAUACUGGGGAUCUUGAGUCCGGGAGAGGUGAGUGGAACUGCGAGUGUAGAGGUGAAAUUCGUAGAUAUUCGCAAGAACACCAGUGGCGAAGGCGGCUCACUGGCCCGGUACUGACGCUGAGGUGCGAAAGCGUGGGGAGCAAACAGG